This is a long non-coding RNA of Capsicum annuum, 923 nucleotides long. RefSeq lists it as uncharacterized. The transcript is spliced from 5 exons. The record is from RefSeq and is a predicted model, not a curated record. Lineage: Eukaryota; Viridiplantae; Streptophyta; Magnoliopsida; Solanales; Solanaceae.
CAUACAGUAAUUUACUUAAUUUCUAGUUUUAUGAAUAAAUUUUGGAUUUUAACUUAAAGUUUAAUAUUUUAGUUUUGAAAAAUUUUUUUAAUUUCAUUUCAGAUUUAGAUCUAAAAAUUAAGUAAUUAAUCUCCUUUUUUGUCUUGUUAGAUCCCUUUUGUGGAUUCAAGAUCUCGGUAUCUUUUAAUAUUUUUGAUAAUUAAUUUUUGAACCUCCAAAUAAUGGAGCCUCGUGUCGGUAAUAAGUUUCGUCUUGGCCGAAAAAUUGGUAGCCGUUCGUUUGGUGAGAUCAGUGUCGGGACUAAUGUUCAGACCAAUGAAGAAGUUACAAUUAAGCUGUUCUGGGAGUCUGAAACUCACACUUGUGGUCUCCAGAAGGUCUAAAGAACAUGUGGUUCAUCAGUACUUAAAGAUGGUGGUGCAGGUCCUUCCAUAGCAAGUUCGGAGUUCCAAAUUACUUUCAUUUCAACAACUUGAACAAACCAUGAUAUGUUACAGUAUUUUCUUUGGCAAGGGCUGCAUCUUAUGCUGCAAAUUUUGAUGGUUUCUGUACUCCAAUAGUUUUCUAUGAGCAAAACUUUAUCUUGUUAUUCAUAAGAAAGAAGACGGAUCAUAUGUUAAUGAAGUGGCAAAAGAGAUUUGUAUAUCUUGGCUACAAGAAGACCAUCUUGUUGGACAGAAAGCUUCUAGUGGAUAUAAUAGACCAAAAAAAAUACUGCCACAGUUUUUGUGAAUGAUUUAGAGAAAAUAGCUCUCAACACGGUGAGACAGUGAGAAAGCAGGAUUUUGCUUCAAUGCAGCUAUUUUGAAUUUCAGCGGGAGGUGCACUAUGACUGGCUGAGAAGUCUCGAGAGCAUGCUGGCAAGUACAUUAAAAAUGUUUUACAUAAAUUAAUAAUCGAUUUCCUGUAUAGAAGAAGCUUCU